GACGAACGCUGGCGGCGUGCUUAACACAUGCAAGUCGAACGGAAAGGCCCUGCUUUUGUUGGGUGCUCGAGUGGCGAACGUGUGAGUAACACGUGAGUAACCUGCCCUUGACUUUGGGAUAACUUCAGGAAACUGGGGCUAAUACCGGAUAUGAGCGCCUGCUGCAUGGUGGGGGUUGGAAAGUUUCGGCGGUUGGGGAUGGACUCGCGGCUUAUCAGCUUGUUGGUGGGGUAGUGGCUUACGAAGGCUUUGACGGGUAGCCGGCCUGAGAGGGUGACCGGCCACAUUGGGACUGAGCUACGGCCCAGACUCCUACGGGAGGCAGUAGUGGGGAAGAUUGAACAAUGGGCGGAAGCCUGAGGCAGCAACGCCGCGUGCGGGAUGACGGCCUUCGGGUUGUAACCCGCUUUCGCCUGUGACGAAGCGUGAGUGACGGUAAUGGGUAAAGAAGCACCGGCUAACUACGUG
Molecule: ribosomal RNA, 468 nt
Filed under: uncultured bacterium
Lineage: Bacteria
Description: partial 16S ribosomal RNA
Rfam family: Bacterial small subunit ribosomal RNA
Source: RNAcentral